RNAcentral lists this ribosomal RNA (447 nucleotides) under uncultured bacterium. RNAcentral's name for it is "partial 16S ribosomal RNA". It matches the Rfam family "Bacterial small subunit ribosomal RNA", at positions 329 to 793 of the family's 1533-position model. The record is from RNAcentral.
CCCCAGACUCCUACGGGAGGCAGCAGUGGGGAAUAUUGCACAAUGGGGGAAACCCUGAUGCAGCGACGCCGCGUGAGCGAUGAAGUAUUUCGGUAUGUAAAGCUCUAUCAGCAGGGAAGAAAAUGACGGUACCUGACUAAGAAGCCCCGGCUAACUACGUGCCAGCAGCCGCGGUAAUACGUAGGGGGCAAGCGUUAUCCGGAUUUACUGGGUGUAAAGGGAGCGUAGACGGCAAUGCAAGCCAGAUGUGAAAGCCCGGGGCUCAACCCCGGGACUGCAUUUGGAACUGUGUAGCUGGAGUGUCGGAGAGGCAGGCGGAAUUCCUAGUGUAGCGGUGAAAUGCGUAGAUAUUAGGAGGAACACCAGUGGCGAAGGCGGCCUGCUGGACGAUGACUGACGUUGAGGCCCGAAAGCGUGGGGAGCAAACAGGAUUAGAUACCCUGGUAC